UAAAAAAAAAAGAUGAUAUUCUAUUUUAACAAAUUUCAAUCGAUCAUAACUGUGUUUGCGGCGGAGAGGAGAGAGAGAUAGGAAGAAGAAAUGACAAGAGGGAAGCAAAAGAUCGAAGCUCAGAAAAAAAACGCUGAGAAGAAUCAAAAGGGUAAGGGAUCCCAACUCGAGGCUCGUGCUGUUGGCCUCAAAGUCAUCUGUUCCAUCUGUAAGGCACAACUAGCUAAUGACAAGCAGCUUGUUGAUCACUAUGGCUCGAAGCAUCCCAAGGAAAAGCCACCAAAUAAUUCAAGUUGACAUAUUGGUCAAAUCCAGUUUUCAUGGUGUAGAAAACUGCUCAUGAUACUGGUGAAAUGUUUAAAUUGUACCCGAAUAUGCUUCCAUCUAUAUACAGUUACAUUAUGGUUGUUAUUGCCUGUUUAA
Long non-coding RNA from Beta vulgaris subsp. vulgaris (sugar beet), 423 nucleotides. RefSeq lists it as uncharacterized. NCBI's taxonomy places the organism in Eukaryota, Viridiplantae, Streptophyta, Magnoliopsida, Caryophyllales, Amaranthaceae. The record is from RefSeq and is a predicted model, not a curated record. The transcript is spliced from 2 exons.